RNAcentral lists this ribosomal RNA (492 nucleotides) under uncultured bacterium. RNAcentral describes it as "partial 16S ribosomal RNA". It matches the Rfam family "Bacterial small subunit ribosomal RNA", at positions 29 to 507 of the family's 1533-position model. The record is from RNAcentral.
AGUGAACGCUGGCGGUAGGCCUAACACAUGCAAGUCGAACGGCAGCACAGUAAGAGCUUGCUCUUACGGGUGGCGAGUGGCGGACGGGUGAGGAAUACAUCGGAAUCUACUUUUUCGUGGGGGAUAACGUAGGGAAACUUACGCUAAUACCGCAUACGACCUACGGGUGAAAGCAGGGGAUCUUCGGACCUUGCGCGAUUGAAUGAGCCGAUGUCGGAUUAGCUAGUUGGCGGGGUAAAGGCCCACCAAGGCGACGAUCCGUAGCUGGUCUGAGAGGAUGGUCGGCGACACUGGAACUGAGACACGGUCCAGACUCCUACGGGAGGCAGCAGUGGGGAAUAGUGGACAAUGGGCGCAAGCCUGAUCCAGCCAGACCGCGUGGGUGAAGAAGGCCUUCGGGUUGUAAAGCCCUUUUGUUGGGAAAGAAAAGCAGCAGGUUAAUACCCCGCUGUUCUGACGGUACCCAAAGAAUAAGCACCGGCUAACUUCGUG